UGAGGAAUAUUGGUCAAUGGACGAAAGUCUGAACCAGCCAUGCCGCGUGAAGGAAUAAGGCCCUAUGGGUCGUAAACUUCUUUUGUAUGUGAGCAAUAAGGUUCACGCGUGGUCUGAUGAGAGUAUGCGUCGAAUAAGCAUCGGCUAACUCCGUGCCAGCAGCCGCGGUAAUACGGAGGAUGCAAGCGUUAUCCGGAUUUAUUGGGUUUAAAGGGUGCGUAGGCGGAUGGGUAAGUCAGCGGUGAAAUGUCCCGGCUCAACCGGGGAACUGCCAUUGAUACUGCCUGUCUUGAAUGCGGAUGCCGUGGGAGGAAUGUGUAGUGUAGCGGUGAAAUGCAUAGAUAUUACACAGAACACCGAUUGCGAAGGCAUCUCACGAAUCCG
RNAcentral lists this ribosomal RNA (384 nucleotides) under uncultured bacterium. RNAcentral describes it as "bacterial SSU rRNA". It matches the Rfam family "Bacterial small subunit ribosomal RNA", at positions 355 to 736 of the family's 1533-position model. The record is from RNAcentral.